RNAcentral lists this ribosomal RNA (236 nucleotides) under uncultured bacterium. RNAcentral describes it as "partial 16S ribosomal RNA". It matches the Rfam family "Bacterial small subunit ribosomal RNA", at positions 99 to 334 of the family's 1533-position model. The record is from RNAcentral.
CGCACGGGUGAGUAACACGUAUCCAACCUGCCGUCUACUCUUGGACAGCCUUCUAGAAAGGAAGAUUAAUACAAGAUGGCAUCAUGAGUUCACAUGUUCACAUGAUUAAAGGUAUUCCGGUAGACGAUGGGGAUGCGUUCCAUUAGAUAGUAGGCGGGGUAACGGCCCACCUAGUCUUCGAUGGAUAGGGGUUCUGAGAGGAAGGUCCCCCACAUUGGAACUGAGACACGGUCCAA